RNAcentral lists this unclassified non-coding RNA (300 nucleotides) under uncultured fungus. RNAcentral describes it as "sequence contains 5.8S rRNA gene, ITS2". The stretch from base 1 to 62 matches the Rfam family "5.8S ribosomal RNA", at positions 84 to 154 of the family's 154-position model. The record is from RNAcentral. Lineage: Eukaryota; Fungi.
GUGAAUCAUCGAAUCUUUGAACGCAUAUUGCACUCAUUUAGAGUAUGCCUGUUUGAGAAUCUAUAGUAAAAAUUAUUCAUUUGCUCUGUUUGGAUCAUUACUAGAUACUGUAGCAAUACUGUAUAGGAUAGUUAUGUGAAAAUCAUAGUAAUUGAAUAGAUUUGAGGUUCCCCUCCUCUUUGAGAAGGGUACUUUGAAAUAGAUUGCUUAUAGUUUUAGAAGAAUGUUUGACUUUCCUCAAAACUUGCAGAAACGUAUGUGAAUGGAACCUUGGUUUCUCAUAAUGCUUAAUACGUAAGG